This 250-nucleotide ribosomal RNA is filed under the name uncultured bacterium. Its description in RNAcentral is "partial 16S ribosomal RNA". The record is from RNAcentral.
UAGUUUGAUAAUGGCUCAGGAAAGUCGUAACAAGGUAACCGUAAGUCGUAACAAGGUAACCGUAGAGUUUGAUCCUGGCUCAGCCUUUGACUUAAAAAAAUGAGAAGUCGUAACAAGGUAACCGUACGUCGUAACAAGGUAGCCGUAGAGUUUGAUCAUGGCUCAGGAAGUCAAAACAAGGUAACCGUAGGGUCUGAUCAUGGCUCAGAAGUCGUAACAAGGUAGCCGUAAGUCGUAACAAGGUAACCGU